This 118-nucleotide ribosomal RNA is filed under the name Pteropus alecto (black flying fox). Lineage: Eukaryota; Metazoa; Chordata; Mammalia; Chiroptera; Pteropodidae. The record is from RNAcentral.
GUCUACAGUCAUGCCACCCUGAAUGUGCCUGAUACCGUCUGAUCUCAGAAGCUAGGCAGCUCGGGCCUGGUUAGUACUUGGAUGGGAGACCACCUAGGAGGACCAGGAGCUGUAGACG